GCAAGAUGGUGCCUACAGGCAGAUAUGAAACAGGUGGGCUGGCACCUGGGCACAGUGCUUGCCCCUGCUGCCUCUUCCCUCCCAGGUAUGGGAAAAGACACAAAGAGGAUACGCUGGCCUUCUCGGAGUGGGGGUCCCCACAUGCUGCUGUCCCCAGGUGAGUUUGACUCCCUGCCCUGUCUGUCCAGCUCCCUGGGGCUGAAAUGGGGGUGGUGGGACUGAAUCAGGGCUUGGAAAGGUGUAGUGGGGGGUGGAAGAGGGAGAACAGGAGCCCAGGGCCAGCCUGAGGCCUCCUGAGGGCACGAGGCCUACCCCCUACACUGCCAUGUUCUGCCCUGUCCUCACAGGGAGCUCAGCCCGCUGGACUUGUAAUGCCACCUUCUGUCUCCUACGACUCCAUGAGCAGCGCCAGCCCAGCUCUCCCCUCCGCACCCUUGGCUCUGGCCAAAGCUUGCUCCCUGCUCCCACACAGGCUCAAUAAAGCAAGUCAAAGCCA
RNAcentral lists this small RNA (496 nucleotides) under Pan troglodytes (chimpanzee). Its description in RNAcentral is "retained intron". The record is from RNAcentral. Lineage: Eukaryota; Metazoa; Chordata; Mammalia; Primates; Hominidae.